This 201-nucleotide unclassified non-coding RNA is filed under the name Hevea brasiliensis (rubber tree). Lineage: Eukaryota; Viridiplantae; Streptophyta; Magnoliopsida; Malpighiales; Euphorbiaceae. The record is from RNAcentral.
GAACAAGAAGAAGUUUCCCAGAAACUGCUGGAGGAAUUUAACUGUGUACCAACGUUUCUUCCUCCUGAACUUUACAAAAAGUUUUAUCAUGGUUUCUGUAAGCACCAUUUGUGGCCCCUUUUCCAUUAUAUGCUGCCAAUGUGCCCUGAUCAUGGCAUUCGCUUUGAUAAGAUGCUGUGGCAGGCCUAUGUCUCUGCUAAU